This is a long non-coding RNA of Pipistrellus kuhlii (Kuhl's pipistrelle), 1847 nucleotides long. RefSeq lists it as uncharacterized. The record is from RefSeq and is a predicted model, not a curated record. Lineage: Eukaryota; Metazoa; Chordata; Mammalia; Chiroptera; Vespertilionidae. The transcript is spliced from 3 exons.
UCAAUUUUUAUCUUGUUUUAGCUUUUGCUUUGUGUGGCUUGAUACUAUUAUUUAAUGCAGAUACUUGUGUCUGUUAAGUACAGUUUAUAAGGAAGACUUGCUAGUCUGUAAAGUUAUUCUUUUUGUCCUAUUUAUGUUUUUUUUUGCCUUGAAUUUGACUUCUUGAAUACUAGAAUAUUUCUGUCCUCUUUUUGUUUAUAUUUGCUUGAUAAAUUAAUUUUUACCCUUUUAUUUAUAAUGAUAUACUUUUUAGUUGUCUUUCACACAGCAUGUCUUUUUAUAUUUCAGCACAUUUGGAGAGUCUGCAUUUUAUUAGGAGAGUCUAAUCCAUUUGCUUUUGUUAGUUUCUCAUUUUGGUCUUCUGUGAUCAUGUUUUAUGCUUUCUCACUGAUUUCUCUUAUUUCCUAAAAAAGACUGUAAUUUUCUGGCUUUAAUUUUCUUAUUGAUUUGAUUUAGAAAAUACACUUCUUUUUUUUAAAUCUUCACCUGAGGAUAUAUGCUUUUGUUGAUUUGAGAGAGAGAGAGAGAAGGAGAGUGAGAAACAUUAAUGUGAGAGAAAUACCAAUUGGUUGCCUUCCUUAUACACCCUGACCAGGAAUCGAACCCACAACCUUUCCGUGUAUGGGAUGAUGCGUCAACCAACUCAGCCACACCAUUGUAUGCCCUCUUUUAAACUUUACAGGUGAUUAAGGUACCAUUUAGGGUUCAAGACUAUUCAGGAGAAAGAAAGCCUACCUGAAUUUGAACAGGGAGAAUUCAGUAUGAAGAAUUAGUAACUAGUAAUGGGAUUGAUUUACCAGAAAGAGAGGCCCGUCCAUCUCUAAAAAGUGCAGGAUGAGCGGCCGCAGGGAGCAGCCGCUGCUUGUAGACUGAGGGGAGGACCCGAGGAAGGGACAGGCUUGGACGAGCCUUGCCCUGCCCGCAGGCUGAGCUCGGUCUCAUUGAAGGCGAUGUGUGGCCCGCUGGAUGCAACGUGCUGAGGUGCCACCGGCAGGUGACAGAUGGGGCCAGGGAAACUAGGCAGUCAUGGGUUGGGGUGCCAGUGCACGUGAGAAAGCUGCCUCUGGGGCCUGCACACCUGGAGAACGUGCACCACGGCUUUCACCGGGCGCCGCCAGACAGGCAUGUGCUGACGGUGGCUCAGCAGCAGCACGAGGGAAAGGCUCUGGAACAGGAGACCGAGGCCCCUUUCCACCUGCAGUGUCCCUCCGGUGCCACCAAGUACUGUGUCCACUGGCAAAUGAGACAGUUUGUGGGUGGCUUUGCAGCUGGCCUAAUAAUCACUGUUUUCCAAAAUCAUACUCAAGCCUGUAUUUUUUCUUAGCGGCUGACUAAGGAAUGAACCCGUUGUCUGGAUCACUUUAAUUCCAUUAGCAGCUCCUUUAUGCCAUGGUAAGGGGACUCUCUAUUUUUAGUAUGGGGAAUCUCCAGGGUAUGCGUGCUCGUUCACCAUUCAUCUGCUUGUUUUCCCUGUGGCCAGUCGUUGGGUUUGGAUCCAAGCUUUUCCUCUCUCUUCCCAGCCUCUUGUGCUCAGGGCAGUCCUUGGAAGUGUUUCUUGUUCUUCCCUUCCCUACAAGCCUACACUAUUUUUUUGGGUCCCCUUUAUUCCACAUUUUCAGCCAAAGAUAAAACAAGGGACAACAUUCAACAAUAUUCUUUCUUUAAAAAAGUUUAUUUUUAUCAGUAAUAUGUGCAUGUGUUUUACAAAUUAAGUUCUGGGAUGAUGGUGAUGGCUAGAAUAUAGCAACCAAAAAAAACCCGGACAACAUUUACAACAUAACUAGAUGACAAGCUGUUCAUCCCCAUGAACUCCAAAAUAUGUGUGCUGUGGAUAAACCACCAAGAGG